ACGAGGCGUUCAGGUACAGUCGGAUCGUGACGAGGCGUUCAGGUACAGUCGGAUCGUGACGAGGCGUUCAGGUACAGUCAGAUCAUGACGAGGCGUUCAGGUACAGUCAGAUCAUGACGAGGCGUUCAGGUCCAGUCAGAUCAUGACGAGGCGUUCAGGUACAGUCGGAUCGUGACGAGGCGUUCAGGUACAGUCGGAUCGUGACGAGGCCUUCGGGUACAGCCGGAUCGUGACGAGGUGUUCAGGUCCAGUCGGAUCAUAACGAGGCGUUCAGGUCCAGUCAGAUCAUGACGAGGCGUUCAGGUACAGUCGGAUCGUGACGAGGCGUUCAGGUACAGUCGGAUCGUGACGAGGCGUUCAGGUACAGUCGGAUCAUAACGAGGCGUUCAGGUACAGUCGGAUCGUGACGAGGCGUUCAGGUACAGUCGGAUCGUGACGAGGCGUUCAGGUCCAGUCGGAUCGUGACGAGGCGUUCAGGUCCAGUCGGAUCGUGACGAGGCGUUCAGGUCCAGUCGGAUCGUAACGAGGCGUUCAGGUCCAGUCAGAUCAUGACGAGGCGUUCAGGUACAGUCGGAUCAUAACGAGGCGUUCAGGUCCAGUCGGAUCAUAACGAGGCGUUCAGGUCCAGUCGGAUCAUAACGAGGCGUUCAGGUCCAGUCGGAUCAUAACGAG
This is a long non-coding RNA of Austrofundulus limnaeus, 672 nucleotides long. RefSeq lists it as uncharacterized. The transcript has 3 exons. Lineage: Eukaryota; Metazoa; Chordata; Actinopteri; Cyprinodontiformes; Rivulidae. The record is from RefSeq and is a predicted model, not a curated record.